Molecule: long non-coding RNA, 1015 nt
Organism: Mauremys reevesii (Reeves's turtle)
Lineage: Eukaryota; Metazoa; Chordata; Testudines; Geoemydidae
Exons: 4
Source: RefSeq, a predicted model, not a curated record
GUAGCCUUGCUGCAGCAAGCCUCCAGCUCGCGGUCUCUCGCCGAGGACCAAGAGACAUUGGUGUGCAGGAGAUUCUGUGCGUGUGUUUGUCAUUCCCGUGUGGAAUUUGUUUCAAAGACGUUGUCAUCUGUGUAGAAGCCAGUUUCAAUCUCUGGACUCUACCCCUUGCCCUGCUGGCAGGGCAUUGAGCGGCACCCGUUGCCGGCCACCUGGGUGCGGAGAUCGAGGAGGGUGAAGGGAGGAGCAACCCUGAGCAUCUGCCAUUCUGCUCCAUCUGAUCUAGAUUCCAGGAUGGAGCGAAUCAGGCAGAUGAUCAGGAGGGAGGCCGGGCAGGUGGCUCCACAGCCAGAAGAAGACAUCAGCCAGCCUGCCCAGGUGGAGAGCAGCCCCUCUGUUCCCGCGGGCGGGGAAGAGGCUCGUGGCCAGGGGAAAGAGAGGAGCUGCUUCGCCUGCUGGAGGAGGCGGAAGACAGCAGCUCCUCUAGCUGACCCUGCGGCACCUUCUGGGAUGAAACGGAGGUGGCCCCAUGUUCAGCUGUGGAGGAGAGAGCCAGGGGAGGGCAGGAGCCGGGGAUGGCAGCUCUGGGGCUUCCUUUGCAGGAAGCCAAGGAGCCAGGAGCUGCGCCCAGGGCCCAGCAGGAGCCGCCAACCACCCUGGCCCCAGAGGAGCCUCCCGCCAGCACCACCCUGGCCCCAGAGGAGCCUCCCGCCAGCACCACCCUGGCCCCAGAGGAGCAUCCCGCCAGCACCACCCUGGCAACUGCGGAGCCUCCCGCCAGCCCCACCCUGGCCAUGGAGGAGCCUCCUGCCUGCCCCACCCUGGCACCUGCGGCGCCUCCUCCCAGCCCAGAGCAGGAGUUGAGCAACUGCGGGACAAACACCAGCAGCUCUGUAUUCUCCUGCAGGGCCAGCAGCUCCUCCGUGGGGUCUGGCAGCCCUGUGUUGCUAGGCUCCCUCUUUGGAGACACCCCCAGUGCCCAGGUGUCAUGGCCUGAGGAGGAGGAGGAGGAGGAGGA